RNAcentral lists this ribosomal RNA (433 nucleotides) under uncultured bacterium. RNAcentral's name for it is "partial 16S ribosomal RNA". It matches the Rfam family "Bacterial small subunit ribosomal RNA", at positions 29 to 507 of the family's 1533-position model. The record is from RNAcentral.
AACGAACGCUGGCGGCAUGCCUAACACAUGCAAGUCGAACGAUGCCUUCGGGCAUAGUGGCGCACGGGUGCGUAACGCGUGGGAAUCUGCCUUUCGGUUCGGAAUAACUCAGGGAAACUUGAGCUGAUACCGGAUAACGUCGCAAGACCAAAGAUUUAUCACCGAAAGAUGAGCCCGCGUAGGAUUAGCUAGUUGGUGAGGUAAAGGCUCACCAAGGCGACGAUCCUUAGCUGGUCUGAGAGGAUGAUCAGCCACACUGGGACUGAGACACGGCCCAGACUCCUACGGGAGGCAGCAGUGGGGAAUAUUGGACAAUGGGCGAAAGCCUGAUCCAGCAAUGCCGCGUGAGUGAUGAAGGCCUUAGGGUUGUAAAGCUCUUUUACCCGGGAAGAUAAUGACGGUACCGGGAGAAUAAGCCCCGGCUAACUCCGUG